GGUGACGUGUCCGAGCGGCCGAAGGUGCAACACUCGAAAUGUUGUUUGGUGUAAAAGCCAACGUGGGUUCAAAUCCCACCGUCACCGCCC
RNAcentral lists this transfer RNA (90 nucleotides) under Arthrobacter agilis. RNAcentral describes it as "tRNA-Ser". It matches the Rfam family "tRNA". From Rfam's summary of the family: Transfer RNA (tRNA) molecules are approximately 80 nucleotides in length. Their secondary structure includes four short double-helical elements and three loops (D, anti-codon, and T loops). The record is from RNAcentral. Lineage: Bacteria; Bacillati; Actinomycetota; Actinomycetes; Micrococcales; Micrococcaceae.